RNAcentral lists this ribosomal RNA (314 nucleotides) under uncultured bacterium. RNAcentral's name for it is "partial 16S ribosomal RNA". It matches the Rfam family "Bacterial small subunit ribosomal RNA", at positions 495 to 807 of the family's 1533-position model. The record is from RNAcentral.
GUAUAAGAGACAGCAGCCGCCGCGGGAAUACGGAGGAUCCAAGCGUUAUCCGGAAUCAUUGGGUUUAAAGGGUCCGUAGGCGGUCUUGUAAGUCAGUGGUGAAAGCCCAUCGCUCAACGGUGGAACGGCCAUUGAUACUGCAGGACUUGAAUUAUUGGGAAGUAACUAGAAUAUGUAGUGUAGCGGUGAAAUGCUUAGAGAUUACAUGGAAUACCAAUUGCGAAGGCAGGUUACUACCAAUUGAUUGACGCUGAUGGACGAAAGCGUGGGUAGCGAACAGGAUUAGAUACCCCUGUAGUCCCUGUCUCUUAUAC